CCUACGGGAGGCAGCAGUGGGGAAUAUUGGGCAAUGGAGGAAACUCUGACCCAGCAACGCCGCGUGAAGGAUGAAGGUUUUCGGAUUGUAAACUUCUGUCGCGAGGGAUGAAGAAUGACGGUACCAAGUAAGAAAGCCCCGGCAAACUACGCGCCAGCAGCAGCGGUAAUACGUGGGGGGGGAGCGUUGUCCGGAAUGACUGGGCGUAAAGGGAGGGUAGGCGGUAUAUUAAGUCAUGUGUGAACGCCCGCGGCUCAACCGGGGAAGUGCACAUAAAACUGGUAAGCGGGAGUGCAGGAGAGGUAAGUGGAAUUCCCGGUGUAGCGGUGGAAUGCGUAGAUAUCGGAAGGAACACCAGUGGCGAAGGCGACUUACUGGCCUGUAACUGACGCUGAGGCUCGAAAGCGUGGGGAGCAAACAGGAUUAGAUACCCGAGUAGUC
Molecule: ribosomal RNA, 441 nt
Filed under: uncultured bacterium
Lineage: Bacteria
Description: partial 16S ribosomal RNA
Rfam family: Bacterial small subunit ribosomal RNA
Source: RNAcentral